UACAGAGGUCUCAAGCGUUGUUCGGAUUCAUUGGGCGUAAAGGGUGCGUAGGCGGCGAGGCAAGUCGGAUGUGAAAUCUCAGGGCUCAACCCUGAAACUGCAUUCGAUACUGCCUUGCUCGAGGACUGGAGAGGAGAUUGGAAUUCACGGUGUAGCAGUGAAAUGCGUAGAUAUCGUGAGGAAGACCAGUGGCGAAGGCGGAUCUCUGGACAGUUCCUGACGCUGAGGCACGAAGGCCAGGGGAGCAAACGGG
RNAcentral lists this ribosomal RNA (253 nucleotides) under uncultured bacterium. Its description in RNAcentral is "partial 16S ribosomal RNA". It matches the Rfam family "Bacterial small subunit ribosomal RNA", at positions 524 to 776 of the family's 1533-position model. The record is from RNAcentral.